UACGUAGGGCGCAAGCGUUGUCCGGAAUUAUUGGGCGUAAAGAGCUCGUAGGUGGCGUGUCGCGUCUGCCGUGAAAGCCCAUGGCUUAACUGUGGGUCUGCGGUGGAUACGGGCAGGCUGGAGGCUGGUAGGGGCAAGCGGAAUUCCUGGUGCAGCGGUGAAAUGCGCAGAUAUCAGGAGGAACACCGGUGGCGAAGGCGGGUCUCUGGGACGGUACUGACGCUAGACGCG
This 231-nucleotide ribosomal RNA is filed under the name uncultured bacterium. RNAcentral describes it as "partial 16S ribosomal RNA". It matches the Rfam family "Bacterial small subunit ribosomal RNA", at positions 524 to 753 of the family's 1533-position model. The record is from RNAcentral.